CCUACGGGUGGCAGCAGUGAGGAAUAUUGGUCAAUGGGCGCGAGCCUGAACCAGCCACGUAGCGUGAAGGAUGACUGCCCUACGGGUUGUAAACUUCUUUUAUAAAGGAAUAAAGUGAGGCACGUGUGCCUUUUUGUAUGUACUUUAUGAAUAAGGAUAGGCUAACUCCGUGCCAGCAGCCGCGGUAAUACGGUGGAUCCGAGCGUUAUCCGGAUUUAUUGGGUUUAAAGGGAGCGUAGAUGGGUUGUUAAGUCAGUUGUGAAAGGUUGCGGCUCAACCGGAAAAUUGCAAUUGAUACUGGCAGACUUGAGUGCAGUCGAGGUGGGCGGAAUUCGUGGUGUAGCGGUGGAAUGCUUAGAUAUCACGAAGAACUCCGAUUGCGAAGGCAGCUUACUAAACUGCCACUGACGUUGAGGCUCGAAAGUGUGGGUAUCAAACAGGAUUAGAUACCCGUGUAGUC
RNAcentral lists this ribosomal RNA (460 nucleotides) under uncultured bacterium. Its description in RNAcentral is "partial 16S ribosomal RNA". It matches the Rfam family "Bacterial small subunit ribosomal RNA", at positions 338 to 795 of the family's 1533-position model. The record is from RNAcentral.